Molecule: ribosomal RNA, 167 nt
Filed under: Marinisporobacter balticus
Lineage: Bacteria; Bacillati; Bacillota; Clostridia; Peptostreptococcales; Thermotaleaceae
Description: partial 16S ribosomal RNA
Rfam family: Bacterial small subunit ribosomal RNA
Source: RNAcentral
UUUAUUUUAAGAGUUUGAUCCUGGCUCAGGAUGAACGCUGGCGGCGUGCCUAACACAUGCAAGUCGAGCGAGGUUGUUUUAAAGCUUACUUUAAAACAACUUAGCGGCGGACGGGUGAGUAACGCGUGGGCAACCUGCCCUAUACAGAGGGAUAGCCUCGGGAAACC